UGCCGCAGCUGGUGGGCCACGUGCCGCAGCCCAGCGCUGGCGGUGCCCAGCUCCCGUGUCACCUCGGCCACCUCCCGCCGGGCGCUGUCCCUGUCCCUCUCCCUCUGCUCCAACCUCCGCCCCAGCUCCGCCGCGCGCCGCUGCGCCCUGCCACGGGGACACGGGGACACGGGGACACGGGGACGUGGAGCCCCCCCCGGGGACACAGGUGGCCCGCACCCAGCGACCCGAUGUCCUGUGCGUCGGUGACACAGAUGCCACCACCCCAUGGGGACACAGGUGUCCUGCCCCACGGAUCCUGGUGUCUCAUCCCAUGGGGACACAAAUGUCACCACCCUUGGGGACCUGGGUGUCCUACCCCACGGUGACACAGAUGUCCCACCCCAUGGGGACCCAGUUGUCCCAUCCCCAAGGAUCCUGGUGUCUCAUCCCAUGGUGACACAGAUGCCACCACCCUUGGGGACCCAGAUGUCCCACCCCUGGGGACCCAGCUGCCCCAUUCCAUGGGGACACAAAUGUCACCACUCUUGGGGACCCAGAUGUCCCACCCCAUGGGGACACAGCUGUCCCAUCCCCAUGGCUCCCGGUGUCUCACCCCAUGGCGACCCAGCUGUCACCACUCCUGGGUACCCAUCUGUCCCACCCCACGGUGCCACGGGUGCCACCAACCUUGAGGACCCCCACGUCCCCCCCCCGGCGCAGGGCUCUCACCGUGCCCGCUGUCCCCCCCCUCGGUGUCUCCUGUGCUGCAGCUCCAGCUCCAGCGCCGUCACCUCGUCCCGCAGCCGCCCCAAUGUCACCGCGUUGCUGCGGGCCACCGCCGCCAGCCGCUGCCCCACGGCCAGCCGGGCACCGCGCUGCCCCACGGCCUGCCCCACGGCCUGCCCCACGGCCUGCCCCACCUGGGGGCACGGGGACAGAGGGACACGCGGUGGCGUGGGGACGCAGGGACGCGGCGGGGCUGAGCGUGGGUGUGGGGCGCAGGGACGUGGGGACACACGGGGACAUGUGGGGACGUGGGGACAUGGGGGGCAGCCCCACAUCAUGGGGACACCCCCACCUUAUGGGGACACGUGGGGACGUGGGGACACCCCCACAUCAUGGGGACAUCGCCACGGGGGCAGAUGGGGACACCCCCGCUUGAUGGGGACACGUGGGGACACACAGGGACAU
RNAcentral lists this long non-coding RNA (1173 nucleotides) under Numida meleagris (helmeted guineafowl). RNAcentral's name for it is "lncRNA (ENSNMEG00000001459.1)". The record is from RNAcentral. Lineage: Eukaryota; Metazoa; Chordata; Aves; Galliformes; Numididae.